This 253-nucleotide ribosomal RNA is filed under the name uncultured bacterium. RNAcentral describes it as "partial 16S ribosomal RNA". It matches the Rfam family "Bacterial small subunit ribosomal RNA", at positions 524 to 776 of the family's 1533-position model. The record is from RNAcentral.
UACGGAGGGUGCAAGCGUUAUCCGGAUUCACUGGGCUUAAAGGGCGCGUAGGUGGGCAAGUAAGUCAGUGGUGAAAUCUCCGGGCUUAACCCGGAAACUGCCAUUGAUACUAUUUGUCUUGAAUACUGUGGAGGUCAGCGGAAUAUGUCAUGUAGCGGUGAAAUGCUUAGAUAUGACAUAGAACACCAAAUGCGAAGGCAGCUUGCUGCACAGUUAUUGACGCUGAGGCACGAAAGCGUGGGGAUCAAACAGG